AUCUGCUUCCAUCGUGUGCAUUCAUUCUUGUAAAACCUCAGCCUCAGAAGGACAGCGGAUGCCACAAUAGCUCAGCGAGGACCCUGGAUGAGCCAGAGUGGCGGCCAAGGGGAGACGGAGCGGCCCUUCACAGCCAGGGGAGCACGGAGGGCCACCACCAUGCACCCGGCAGCUGACUCAUCGGCCCGGUGGGCUUGCUACCUCCAGCACAGGUGGACUUUGCUUCCACACCGGAGACGAUAGGCAGUGUGGAUGAUGUGUCCGGGAAGGGGACUUCCUCACCCAGGGCUGUGGCUUCUUGCUGUGCAGACCCCGCCAUCAGGCCUGAAGAUGCGUGUCACCCUCUUGGGGACCCUGAGUCCUGGGGGAGUGUCAUUUCCAGGGAUCAGUGGGCCACCCCUUCCCUGGCAUGGUGUCACUGGCAUUUCAGGUGGAUGAGUCACUGUGGUGGGUCUGUCCAGGGCACUGUAACCUGCUUCCUGGCCUCCACCCACUGGAUGCUGGGAGCUUGCUCCUGCAGCUGUUGCAGCCAGCACUGCUUCCAGACACCACAAGGGCCCUGGGCAUGGAAAUACCCCGGCUGAACCCCCUGGUUGGACGUUUGGCCCAUCCAUCCCAGGCCCCUGGCACAGUAAAGGACAAGAGCCUGGUCGGAUUCAGAGGGACAGAGACCCCAAGCAUCGAGAGGCGCGGCUCCGUGCUGGAGGGCCACCUUCGAGGUGAGGAGUCAUUAAAACCUGGUGAGGCCAGGCCCUGGCCUUGGGGAUGUCCACAUGGGGGUUGGCACUGCUCCUCCACGGCCUCAGAGCUGGUUUAGUCUGAGUCCUGCUGUCCUUGGGGGCAGCUCUCAUCCACAUCGAUUCUCAAAUCUGGGCACUGGCUUGUUUUGUGGGUUCUUGAGUCCCCUGACAUAUACCCCUGCUCUGUUUCCUGGGGUCUCUGGGGAUCUUGCGAGCCCUUUGGUCUCCUUACCCCCUCACCUGGCCUCUUUCAUCCACCACUGUCCCCUGAGGCCCCUGUGUCUUGGUAUCAGAGCCGCCUCUUGGACUGUCUGCUCCAAAUCUUCUUUGCCCCUGUGCUGUCAGAUCCUGGUGGGCAGCCAGUGACUCACUGCCCAGGGCUCCCACUGGACAGCGACUCCCUGUAAGAAAAUCCCAGGUGCUGACAGGAGAAGGUCCCAUGGGGAGGGACAGGCCCACAUGCGGCUAGCUCAGGAGGUCACCACGGUGGGACGGUCUUAGUGAGCUUGUCCUGCCUGAGUGUGCCAGGGAGAUCAUCUCUCUGAGGAAGAUUUGGAAUGGGGAUGUCCACAUCCUAGAGGGGGAGGUGACCAGGUUUUGUGUGUCCCUGACAUUCUGCUCAAGUUGCCUGGGCUCUCUGUGAGUGCUCCAAGAAAACUUCCUGAGCCCCUGAAGCUCUGUGGAGCCGACCUGCAUGAAACCCUCACUCACAGUGAGUGCUGGGAGCUCUAUACUAACUGCAGAGCCCCCUGAAUUCUGUAAGAAGCUGGCUGGGCAGAUGCCAGAUGUUUACAGUUUGCCCUCAUGCUGAUU
Chinchilla lanigera (long-tailed chinchilla) is the source of this 1553-nucleotide long non-coding RNA. RefSeq lists it as uncharacterized. The transcript is spliced from 3 exons. The record is from RefSeq and is a predicted model, not a curated record. NCBI's taxonomy places the organism in Eukaryota, Metazoa, Chordata, Mammalia, Rodentia, Chinchillidae.